Erinaceus europaeus (western European hedgehog) is the source of this 106-nucleotide small nuclear RNA. Lineage: Eukaryota; Metazoa; Chordata; Mammalia; Eulipotyphla; Erinaceidae. The record is from Ensembl.
GUUUUAAAAGGACAGAAGGCUAACACUCCCUUUGUCAAGAAUGAAAGAGCAACAUUCACAUGGUUUAGGCACUACUACCUAUACUUCAGUGCAGCAGUGAGGUUAU